Molecule: long non-coding RNA, 372 nt
Organism: Oryzias latipes (Japanese medaka)
Lineage: Eukaryota; Metazoa; Chordata; Actinopteri; Beloniformes; Adrianichthyidae
Source: RefSeq, a predicted model, not a curated record
GAGAGACCCCCUUUCUUCACCGAUCUCACAACAUUUCUGCAGCAGAAAAUCUUUUUCAGCAUCAUCAGCCAGACAAAAUGAGCGACCCCAACCCAAUGCAUCCCGAAGAACUCGGUGAACACAGCGGCCAUGGGCACGGACAUGCACAUGGUAAAGGAGAAGGCCAUGGACAUGGCCAUGGACAUGGCCAUGGACACGGCCAUGGACACGGCCAUGGCCACGGACACGGACACGGACACGGACAUGGCAAAAAUUGAAAAAACUCAUCGACAUGAUGCAAGUGGAGAAAUCACGCAUUAAGUCAAUAAUUUGGAAUCAAAUAUGUAAUCAAAACAAAUUUCUUCUUCAAUAAAAGCAUCUAAAAAGCAAGAA